This 18-nucleotide ribosomal RNA is filed under the name Salvelinus alpinus alpinus. RNAcentral describes it as "partial 12S ribosomal RNA". Lineage: Eukaryota; Metazoa; Chordata; Actinopteri; Salmoniformes; Salmonidae. RNAcentral also lists the same sequence under 2 other names. The record is from RNAcentral.
CAAAGGCUUGGUCCUGAC